RNAcentral lists this unclassified non-coding RNA (731 nucleotides) under Hevea brasiliensis (rubber tree). The record is from RNAcentral. Lineage: Eukaryota; Viridiplantae; Streptophyta; Magnoliopsida; Malpighiales; Euphorbiaceae.
AAAAAAAAAAAAAAAAAAAGAGGUUAAGCUAAGGUAGCCAAGCAUGUUGAAGCUUGACCAAAGUGAAUAUGAGUCAACAAGGUUUUUAACUGAAUGACUAAUGGUCAAAAUAUAGCUUAAAUUGUUGAUCGAAAAGGAUCAUGACAGCUAUUUUCUUUUGCAGUGAAAGAGUUAUAGCUUGAUGUCUAUUUUAGAAUCUGCAGCCCAAGAUUCUAAAUAGAAUAUAGAAGUCACUAUUUUAUUUUUUGGCUCGCUGAUGUGAAAAUGCAGAUUUACAAAGCAAACACUGAAAGCUUCCUUGUAAAUAACUAUAAUCACAAUUUUAUGAAAUAAAAGUGAUAAUUGGAACAAAUUUUACUAUUAGCAAAUGGGAGUAACGAGACUUAUAAGCAAUAGCUCUAAGAUGCAUGUUUGCAUAACAGGGUUAUGUAUUGUGAUUCAGAUAUUCGAUCUUAUUCUUGUGAUUAUGUAGCAUAACUCUAUAUAUGCUGCAGGUAUAUUUUAUCACUUCUUAUCCCUUGGUUCUUACUGUUAAAAGUUGUUGCAGGUGAAGCUUGGACUUGGUAUAUCCGACUUGCUUUAUCAUUUAUCUUACUUUCUAUUUUUUCUUCAGUAAAGAAAAUUUCAGGGCAUCUUUGUGCUUUACAAUUUCUUUUACUUAUAUAGUCAGAUUUUGGUUAAUUUAAUAUGUUAUAUUCUUAUCAAUAGGCAUCUGUUCAGAAACCUCAAGA